Molecule: unclassified non-coding RNA, 271 nt
Filed under: uncultured Ascomycota
Lineage: Eukaryota; Fungi; Ascomycota
Description: sequence contains 5.8S rRNA gene, ITS2, 28S rRNA gene
Source: RNAcentral
AACGCACAUUGCGCCUUCCGGCAUUCCGGGAGGCAUGCCUGUUCGAGCGUCAUUAAAACCAACUCAAGCGUAUCAGUUUGGUCUUGACGAACGAGCUCUGCCUUUGGGCCUGGAGCUCCUUGUCGAAAUCCAGAGGCGGAAAGCAAGCGUGCCCGAGCGUAGUAAGAACAUUAUUGACCUUCGCGAGGUGGCGUUCCUGUUUUCCUGCCGGAAAACCCCCAUGACUUCAAGGUUUGACCUCGGAUCAGGUAGGGAUACCCGCUGAACUUAA